Molecule: ribosomal RNA, 439 nt
Filed under: uncultured bacterium
Lineage: Bacteria
Description: partial 16S ribosomal RNA
Rfam family: Bacterial small subunit ribosomal RNA
Source: RNAcentral
CUACGGGUCGCUCCAGUGGGGAAUCUUAGACAAUGGGGGAAAACCUGAUCUAGCCAUGCCGCGUGAGCGACGACGGCCCUAGGGUUGUAAAGCUCUUUCAGCAGGGAAGAUAAUGACGGUACCUGCAGAAGAAGUCCCGGCUAACUCCGUGCCAGCAGCCGCGGUAAUACGGAGGGGACUAGCGUUGUUCGGAAUUACUGGGCGUAAAGCGCGCGUAGGCGGAUUGUUAAGUCGGGGGUGAAAUCCCGGGGCUCAACCCCGGAACUGCCCUCGAUACUGGCAGCCUUGAGUUCGAGAGAGGUGAGUGGAAUUCCGAGUGUAGAGGUGAAAUUCGUAGAUAUUCGGAGGAACACCAGUGGCGAAGGCGGCUCACUGGCUCGAUACUGACGCUGAGGUGCGAAAGCGUGGGGAGCAAACAGGAUUAGAUACCCGAGUAGUC